This 194-nucleotide ribosomal RNA is filed under the name uncultured bacterium. RNAcentral's name for it is "partial 16S ribosomal RNA". It matches the Rfam family "Bacterial small subunit ribosomal RNA", at positions 1307 to 1500 of the family's 1533-position model. The record is from RNAcentral.
GCAACUCGCCUACAUGAAGUCGGAAUUGCUAGUAAUCGCGGAUCAGCAUGCCGCGGUGAAUACGUUCCCGGGCCUUGUACACACCGCCCGUCACACCAUGGGAGUCGGUAACACCCGAAGCCUGUAGUCUAACCGCAAGGGGGACGCAGUCGAAGGUGGGAUUGAUGACUGGGGUGAAGUCGUAACAAGGUAAC